UGCAAGUCGAGCGGAUGAAGAGAGCUUGCUCUCUGAUUCAGCGGCGGACGGGUGAGUAAUGCCUAGGAAUCUGCCUGAUAGUGGGGGACAACGUUUCGAAAGGAACGCUAAUACCGCAUACGUCCUACGGGAGAAAGCAGGGGACCUUCGGGCCUUGCGCUAUCAGAUGAGCCUAGGUCGGAUUAGCUAGUUGGUGAGGUAACGGCUCACCAAGGCGACGAUCCGUAACUGGUCUGAGAGGAUGAUCAGUCACACUGGAACUGAGACACGGUCCAGACUCCUACGGGAGGCAGCAGUGGGGAAUAUUGGACAAUGGGCGAAAGCCUGAUCCAGCCAUGCCGCGUGUGUGAAGAAGGUCUUCGGAUUGUAAAGCACUUUAAGUUGGGAGGAAGGGCAUUAACCUAAUACGUUAGUGUUUUGACGUUACCGACAGAAUAAGCACCGGCUAACUUCGUGCCAGCAGCCGCGGUAAUACGAAGGGUGCAAGCGUUAAUCGGAAUUACUGGGCGUAAAGCGCGCGUAGGUGGUUUGUUAAGUUGAAUGUGAAAGCCCCGGGCUCAACCUGGGAACUGCAUCCAAAACUGGCAAGCUAGAGUAUGGCAGAGGGUGGUGGAAUUUCCUGUGUAGCGGUGAAAUGCGUAGAUAUAGGAAGGAACACCAGUGGCGAAGGCGACCACCUGGGCUAAUACUGACACUGAGGUGCGAAAGCGUGGGGAGCAAACAGGAUUAGAUACCCUGGUAGUCCACGCCGUAAACGAUGUCGACUAGCCNUUGGGAUCCUUGAGAUCUUAGUGGCGCAGCUAACGCAUUAAGUCGACCGCCUGGGGAGUACGGCCGCAAGGUUAANNUCAG
Molecule: ribosomal RNA, 852 nt
Filed under: Pseudomonas sp.
Lineage: Bacteria; Pseudomonadati; Pseudomonadota; Gammaproteobacteria; Pseudomonadales; Pseudomonadaceae
Description: bacterial SSU rRNA
Rfam family: Bacterial small subunit ribosomal RNA
Source: RNAcentral